Potamilus streckersoni is the source of this 82-nucleotide non-coding RNA. The record is from the annotation of a GenBank genome assembly. Lineage: Eukaryota; Metazoa; Mollusca; Bivalvia; Unionida; Unionidae.
UACCAGGAAGCUGAGGAAAGUUAGUUGCAAAAGCGUCGGACUCGUAAUACAAGGUUCCAGGGUUCAAUUCCUGCCUUGGUAA